AAAAAAAUUUUUAUAGUUUUAUUAUUUUAUUUUUAAUUUAUUUUACAUACAAAUUUUAGUGAUUAAUUUUAUUUAUUUUAAUAAUAUAAUAAUUUGUAGUAAUUAAUAUUAAAAUAUUUAAGAAAUUAAGAUUUAGUAAUAUUAAAAUAAAUAACUAAUUUUGUGCCAGCAGUUGCGGUUAUACAAAAAUUUAAUUAAAAUUUUUCAGUAUUUAAUAAAUAAUUAUUUAUUAAAUUAAAAAUUAAAUUAUUAGGUGAAAUUUUAAUUUAAUAAAAAUUUAAAUAAAAAUUAUGAUUUAAUAACUUUUUUAAAAAACUAGGAUUAGAUACCCUAUUAUUAAAAUUAAAAAUAUAAUACUAAAAUAUUAGGUAAUUAUUUAUUAAAACUUAAAUAAUUUGGCGGUAUUUUAGUUCAUUUAGAGGAAUCUGUCUAAUAAUUGAUAAUCCACGAUUAAAUUUACUUAAUUUAAAAUUUUAUAUAUCGUUGUUAAAAAAAUAUUUUUAAAAAAUAUUAAUAUUUAAAAAUUUUAAUUAAAAAUUAAUUCAGAUCAAGAUGUAGAAUAUAGUUAAGAAUAUGAUGGAUUACAAUAAAUUUAUUUAAAUGAAUUUUUUUUUUUAAUAUAAAAAUGAAAGUGGAUUUAAAUGUAAUUUUAUUAAUUUAAAUAAAAUGAUUAAAAAUUAAAAUAUGUACAUAUUGCCCGUCGCUUUCAUUUAAAAAUUGAAAUAAGUCGUAACAAAGUAGAUGUACUGGAAAGUGCUUCUAGAAUU
This 767-nucleotide non-coding RNA is filed under the name Jamides bochus. Lineage: Eukaryota; Metazoa; Arthropoda; Insecta; Lepidoptera; Lycaenidae. The record is from RNAcentral.